This 384-nucleotide ribosomal RNA is filed under the name uncultured bacterium. Its description in RNAcentral is "bacterial SSU rRNA". It matches the Rfam family "Bacterial small subunit ribosomal RNA", at positions 30 to 416 of the family's 1533-position model. The record is from RNAcentral.
AUUGAACGCUGGCGGCAUGCCUUACACAUGCAAGUCGAACGGCAGCGCGGGGCAACCUGGCGGCGAGUGGCGAACGGGUGAGUAAUAUAUCGGAACAUACCCUAGAGUGGGGGAUAACGUAGCGAAAGUUACGCUAAUACCGCAUACGCACUAAGGUGGAAAGUGGGGGAUCUUCGGACCUCAUGCUCAUGGAGUGGCCGAUAUCUGAUUAGCUAGUUGGUGAGGUAAAGGCUCACCAAGGCGGCGAUCAGUAGCUGGUUUGAGAGAACGACCAGCCACACUGGAACUGAGACACGGUCCAGACUCCUACGGGAGGCAGCAGUGGGGAAUUUUGGACAAUGGGGGCAACCCUGAUCCAGCAAUGCCGCGUGAGUGAAGAAGGCC